GUAGGGAAUCUUCGGCAAUGGGGGCAACCCUGACCGAGCAACGCCGCGUGAGUGAAGAAGGUUUUCGGAUCGUAAAGCUCUGUUGUAAGUCAAGAACGGGUGUGAGAGUGGAAAGUUCACACUGUGACGGUAGCUUACCAGAAAGGGACGGCUAACUACGUGCCAGCAGCCGCGGUAAUACGUAGGUCCCGAGCGUUGUCCGGAUUUAUUGGGCGUAAAGCGAGCGCAGGCGGUUUGAUAAGUCUGAAGUUAAAGGCUGUGGCUCAACCAUAGUUCGCUUUGGAAACUGUCAAACUUGAGUGCAGAAGGGGAGAGUGGAAUUCCAUGUGUAGCGGUGAAAUGCGUAGAUAUAUGGAGGAACACCGGUGGCGAAAGCGGCUCUCUGGUCUGUAACUGACGCUGAGGCUCGAAAGCGUGGGGAGCGAACAGGAUUAGAUACCCUUGUAGUCC
RNAcentral lists this ribosomal RNA (450 nucleotides) under uncultured Streptococcus sp. RNAcentral describes it as "bacterial SSU rRNA". It matches the Rfam family "Bacterial small subunit ribosomal RNA", at positions 354 to 796 of the family's 1533-position model. Lineage: Bacteria; Bacillati; Bacillota; Bacilli; Lactobacillales; Streptococcaceae. The record is from RNAcentral.